Molecule: long non-coding RNA, 1664 nt
Organism: Trifolium pratense (red clover)
Lineage: Eukaryota; Viridiplantae; Streptophyta; Magnoliopsida; Fabales; Fabaceae
Exons: 5
Source: RefSeq, a predicted model, not a curated record
AUACUCUUCACGAAGGGGCUAUCUACACUUUACGCUGUUGAUACCCACUUUUUGGUGGUUCGCGUUUCUGCCCCUUUCUGAACCGAAUUGCUGCCUGCUCUUGCUCGCGUGUCGCGUUGGGUGUGGUCCGGAACGAAGAUGGCAGUAUAUAAGUACCUCAUGCCGAAUCGAAAAAACAAAAGCUGGGUAUUUUCGGUUUGGUUCUUGAAGGAGUCAACACAAUGGUUAAUGCUUAUAGCAAAAUAAGCUAUGGUCGUGUUGGGAAAUUGGCAUGGUUUUUGAAGGUUCGUCUUUUUCUUUAUCUUUUCACAAGUAAGUCAAUGCUUCAAUGUUCAUUAUUCUUGAAUUACGUUUACUUAAUUUGUGAAUUUAGGUUUUAUUAAUUCCUAAUUUUUUGUCUGAAAAACCCCUGUUUAUAUGUUGAUUUACAUGUUUAAUGUGUGUUUCUUCCAAAGUUGUUAAUUAGUGAAGAACAUGGCUGGUGUGUAACAAUUCUUUCUCUAAAUUAGACAAGAACAGCAAAAUAAGUGAUCUUCGUUUCGGCAAAUUUCCAUGGUGUUUGAAGGUUUCCGUGAUGCGUUUGUGGAUUGUCGAGUUCAAUCUAAUACCUGGCCGGGAUAAUUCAUUUGAAAUGGUGGUUAUCGAUGAGAAGGGUUGCAAGAUUCAUGCUACUGUCCAAAGGCACCUGAUUCAUUUGUUUAAGGGUGUUCUUAAGGGUGCACCUGAUUCAUUACCGGUAGUUGUUAUCCAAUUUGGAAAAAUUAGAUAUUUUAGGGGUAAACCUUUUUGUUGUUAACAAGUUAUAGAUGUUGUUUUUGUGAUUGUUGUGUUAAGGUUAAUAUUUUAAGUUGUUAAUUAUUCUGCCUUAGAAUUUCUUUUGAUUUUUUUUAUUGUGAAAGUGAGCACUCAAAGUAUUUGAAGAAAUGUCUCAAUAUGAAAAAUUGAUGGCUUUGUGGUCUUAUUUUUUGUGCUUUCAUAUAUUCAUAAUUGAUAUGGAGUAAUUUUACUUGGCUUUUUUUCUACGAAUAUUAGGUUGAUCAAUAUAUGGUUUUUUCUUUCUUUCUCUACAACCUAUAUGUUCCCUAACACUUUAGGUCUUUUGAUUAUGAAAGGUGUACAUGGAUUUAAUUCAGUGGUACACCUUCUAUAUGCAUAACUUGGAGGAGCUUAACAAAUGUUGGAGUCCAAGGCUUCUUUCUUUGAAUAUCUGAUUUGGAAGGUAAGUGGUGAUCUGCAUUGAACAACAAUAGGUUAGACCUGCAAUUUCAAAGGUUAAAUAAAAUGGUUGCUGUUUUUUAUAACAAAAUUUGGAUCUUCUUGCAUUUGAAUUUUUCCUAAUAGGUAGACUUGAUGCUCUCUCUCUCUCUUUGGAACUUAAAUUUCAAUGUAUCCAAAUGUGAAGUUAAGAAAGGAACUUAACAUGUUUGUGAAAAUGUACUCCUUCUAUCUCUGAUCAUUCACUGGAUUAGAAUGGAAACUUGAAAAAUAGAUACACAAUGACUUAUUGGUUUAAAUCUAUUAGAGUCCCCCAAACAAAAUGUAGUAUAAAUAUGGUGUAGGUUGAUUGACCAAAGUUGUUCAUUCCAAUAACUGUUUUUCUGUUGUUUUUUCCCACAUGUAGUUGCUCUUACAUCCUUUUUUUCCCUUUGGUUUUUUGAAAAUUG